GGGGGGAGCAAGCGUUGUUCGGAUUUACUGGGCGUAAAGGGCGCGUAGGCGGCCAGUGCAAGUCAGUUGUGAAAUCUCCGAGCUUAACUCGGAAAGGUCAACUGAUACUGCUCGGCUAGAGUGCGGAAGGGGCAACUGGAAUUCUUGGUGUAGCGGUGAAAUGCGUAGAUAUCAAGAGGAACACCUGCGGCGAAGGCGGGUUGCUGGGCCGACACUGACGCUGAGGCGCGAAAGCUAGGGGAGCGAACGGGAUUAGAUACCCCGGUAGUCCUAGCCUUAAACGAUGAAUGCUUGGUGUCUGGGGUUAUAUAGUCCCCGGGUGCCGUCGCUAACGCUUUAAGCAUUCCGCCUGGGGAGUACGGUCGCAAGACUG
RNAcentral lists this ribosomal RNA (373 nucleotides) under uncultured bacterium. RNAcentral describes it as "bacterial SSU rRNA". It matches the Rfam family "Bacterial small subunit ribosomal RNA", at positions 527 to 896 of the family's 1533-position model. The record is from RNAcentral.